CCUACGCUCUUUCUCUUCUCCAAUCUUCUCUGCCGAAACUCCUCCGAAGUUGUUCUUUGCUCUACCGAAGCCGCAGAUCGAAGGUAGAAGACGUCGAAUAUCCACCGCCUCCAUCAGAGCUCCUCAGAUCCCGUCGUCUCUUCGUCAGAACUCCGUAGAUCCGCCUCCCCUCUUCAUCUUCUUCGAUCUCUUCAUCUUCUCCGAUCUGCAGGUACGUACCAUGCCACCAAGAAAACUCAUUAAGACAUUCAAGGGGCUCAUUUCACAGGUUGACGACCUUACCACCCGGUCUUCAGGGAGUCGGGGGAGCAUUCAAGGGAGCCGAUAGGGGACCAUGUGUUCAAUCUGGUCUCAAUAGCUUCUGCCCCACCAAGACACCAAACAUAGGAUAAUGAACUUGAGAAAUUCAUUGAGAGUACAUAUGCGGAGCCUGAGCUGUAGUAGCAAGAGAAUCCAAAGACUGAGCAGGAGCAGCGUGAGGACGAGAAUGAUCAUUCCACUCUAGACACUAGUAGUACCGGUUCUUCCUCCACACGGAGAUGAGGUUGUAACCAAAAUAUCGAGCUUUCAAGAAGGCCCUAUGGAUCGAGGGUUCCACAUAGAUUUCGAGAUAUAGAUGGGAGGUCAGAUGGUGAUGCUAGAUGCAUGUGGUCUAGACAUGUGGGUCGAUGGUGCGGGACCCCGCACUCAUCUCACAUCGCCAUCUUAAAUGGAAGGCCUUGAGUACCGAUCAACUAGAUUUACUAUGGCGUGUCAUGACGGAUCCAUUCGAAAGCACAGAUAUCCCUUUAGACAUGUAUAGACAGACCGAGAUUGCACACGCCAAAAAAAUAUGGGAAAGGUGGCGCUCCGAUUUGAGUCGGGAUUAUGUGCGGAUUCAUAACGGAGAUGAGGCAACUGUACUUGCGCGUCCCCCACAAUUCUAUGAUCACGCAGAUUGGGAGUUCCACUAUAAAAAACAAUAUUUCACGAAGAGUUUCAAGGUACAUAAAAUUUCAGAAUAGAAAUAUGUAGGGAUGACGGUUUCAACUAUAAUUUUAUUUUAAAUGUAGAAAAAAAAGUUCAAUCAAUAUUGGAAACCGAAAAAAAUGAGGUUUUCCCACCAUACGGGUUGUAAAGCAUUUUCACAAGUGGAAGAAGAACCGGUAUAUACAUUAUUCUAUUCGAUUAAACUUGCUGAUUAUAAAUGUAACUAAUUUACUGAUGAACAAUUUAUUUGAACAUGAGGCUAAACUCGGACGUCCACCGACUAUUAUAGAGAAGUUCAGAAAGACUCAAACCCCGAGAGUCACCAAAGACAACCCGACCCUAACGUCGGACCAACUGUCACAAGAGAAGAUCGGAAGUUAAAGUUUAAUUGAAAAUUUAAUAAAAUUAUAGCUUAAUUAUAUAAUGAUAUUUUAAAAUGUACAAGCGGAGAUGGAGCAAGUAAUUAGUGACACACCCGAUAUCUCCGACUUCGAGGUGACCGAGAGAGUCUUCGGGCCCCAACAAUACGGGACGGUGAUGGGUAUGGGUUCAGGCGUGCGGCCAUCGCGCUUUCACGGUGAUCGGCGGAGGAGCGGAAAUUCUCAACGUGGAGGGUCGUCGCUAAGGGAGGAGAACCAACAGCUCCGGGCGCGGGUCAUUGAACUCGAAGAGCUAGUUCAAGUUAAUAAAUAUAGAACACAACAACAGAUUGCAGAAAUAUUAGCAAGGUUAUAAAAUCAACCACCACCUCCGAGUUAGUACGUUUAUUAUGUAUUUUUUGGAUUAGUUUAUAGUGUUUAGACAAAUACAUGUUGUAUUAUGUUUUUGGAUU
Long non-coding RNA from Impatiens glandulifera, 1801 nucleotides. RefSeq lists it as uncharacterized. Lineage: Eukaryota; Viridiplantae; Streptophyta; Magnoliopsida; Ericales; Balsaminaceae. The record is from RefSeq and is a predicted model, not a curated record. The transcript has 4 exons.